Non-coding RNA from Sphaeramia orbicularis (orbiculate cardinalfish), 544 nucleotides. Lineage: Eukaryota; Metazoa; Chordata; Actinopteri; Kurtiformes; Apogonidae. The record is from the annotation of a RefSeq genome assembly.
CAACGACACAGUUUAUCACAAUAAACACACAACCACAACUACAACACCAACAGUCUGAUCUGAAAAGAACACAAUGAUCAUAUUCUUCUGUUUCAUGUUGAAGGUGUUACUAGUUUCAGGUUCUUCCUUCAGUGACAGCGUUCACCAGAAUCCAUCUGACAUCUACAACAAACCAGGGGAAUCCACCAACAUCACCUGUUCACACAGCAUCGACAACUACGACCGAAUCCUGUGGUAUAAACAACUAAAAGACGGGAAACUACAAUUUCUCGGACACGUUUAUAAAAAUUUUCCUAACCCUGAGGCUGGGAUGGGUGUGCAGAUGUCAGGAACUGCAGAUAUAAAGAAAACCUGCACAUUAACCAUCGAAGAACUCAGCCUGAGCAGCAGUGCAGUUUACUUCUGUGCUGCCAGUCAACACAGUGAUGUGAACUGCUGUGUCUCUAGUUCAUACCCUGCACCUGUACUAACCCCAUCACAGAUUAAAGACUGGAUCCUUAUGUGGCAGUAUAUCUGUACUGAGCAGCAGGAGGAUGAUGCAUGA